This 492-nucleotide ribosomal RNA is filed under the name uncultured bacterium. RNAcentral describes it as "partial 16S ribosomal RNA". It matches the Rfam family "Bacterial small subunit ribosomal RNA", at positions 29 to 507 of the family's 1533-position model. The record is from RNAcentral.
AGUGAACGCUGGCGGUAGGCCUAACACAUGCAAGUCGAACGGCAGCACAGUAAGAGCUUGCUCUUACGGUUGGCGAGUGGCGGACGGGUGAGGAAUACAUCGGAAUCUACUUUUUCGUGGGGGAUAACGUAGGGAAACUUACGCUAAUACCGCAUACGACCUACGGGUUAAAACAGGGGAUCUUCGGACCUUGCGCGAUUGAAUUAGCCGAUGUCGGAUUAGCUAGUUGGCUGGGUAAAGGCCCACCAAGGCAACGAUCCGUAGCUGGUCUGAGAGGAUGAUCAGCCACACUGGAACUGAGACACGGUCCAGACUCCUACGGGAGGCAGCAGUGGGGAAUAUUGGACAAUGGGCGCAAGCCUGAUCCAGCAAUACCGCGUGGGUGAAGAAGGCCUUCGGGUUGUAAAGCCCUUUUGUUGGGAAAGAAAAGCAGCAGGUUAAUACCCCGCUGUUCUGACGGUACCCAAAGAAUAAGCACCGGCUAACUUCGUG